This 277-nucleotide ribosomal RNA is filed under the name Glomus sp. (unid). Lineage: Eukaryota; Fungi; Glomeromycota; Glomeromycetes; Glomerales; Glomeraceae. The record is from RNAcentral.
CAGUCGUACCGGCGGAUAAUCAGCCUUUCGGGUGCGAUUCUGUGGGGCGUGAGGAGCUUAACCGCCUUCAUGUUUUACGUAUUCGUGCUCUUGGGUGUACUUGCCCGUGUGGUAGGUUAACAUCAAUUUCGGUCGUCAUAAAAUGAAUUGGAGGAAUGUAGCUUCGAUCUCGUAUCGAAGUGUUAUAGACUCUGGUAGAUGUGACGAUUGGGGAUUGAGGAUUGCAACGGGAUACCCUUCGGGGCUACCUGUCUGGUCUCUGAUCGUUGCUCUGGUG